GACGAACGCUGGCGGCGUGCCUAAUACAUGCAAGUCGAACGCUUCUUUCCUCCCGAGUGCUUGCACUCGAUUGGAAAGAGGGGUGGCGGACGGGUGAGUAACACGUGGGUAACCUACCCAUCAGCGGGGGAUAACACUUGCAAACAGGUGCUAAUACCGCAUAACAGUUUAUGCCGCAUGGCAUAAGAGUGAAAGGCGCUUUCGGGUGUCGUUGAUGGAUGGACCCGCGGUGCAUUAGCUAGUUGGUGAGGUAACGGCUCACCAAGGCAACGAUGCAUAGCCGAACUGAGAGGGUGAUCGGCCACACGGGAACUGAGACACGGUGCAGAAUCCUACGGGAGGCAGCAGUAGGGAAUCGUACGCAAUGGGCGAAAGUCUGACGGAGCAACGCCGAGUGAGUGAAGAAGGUCUUCGGAUCGUAAAACUCUGUUAUUAGGGAAGAACAAAGGUGUAAGUAACUACGCACGGCUUGACGGGACCUAAUAAGAAAGACACGGCUAACUACGUG
RNAcentral lists this ribosomal RNA (508 nucleotides) under uncultured bacterium. Its description in RNAcentral is "partial 16S ribosomal RNA". It matches the Rfam family "Bacterial small subunit ribosomal RNA", at positions 28 to 507 of the family's 1533-position model. The record is from RNAcentral.